ACUCCUACGGGAGGCAGCAGUAGGAAUAUUGGGCAAUGGGCGGAAGCCUGACCCAGCCAUGCCGCGUGAAGGAAGACGGCCUUCUGGGUUGUAAACUUCUUUUAUACAGGAAGAAAAAGGCCAUGCGUGGCCAAUUGACGGUACUGUAUGAAUAAGCACCGGCUAACUCCGUGCCAGCAGCCGCGGUAAUACGGAGGGUGCAAGCGUUGUCCGGAUUUAUUGGGUUUAAAGGGUGCGUAGGCGGUACGUUAAGUCAGUGGUGAAAUCCCGCAGCUCAACUGCGGAACUGCCAUUGAUACUGGCGUACUUGAGUACAGACGAGGUAGGCGGAAUUUAUGGUGUAGCGGUGAAAUGCAUAGAUACCAUAAAGAACACCGAUAGCGAAGGCAGCUUACUAGACUGUGACUGACGCUCAGGCACGAAAGCGUGGGGAGCGAACAGGAUUAGAUACCCUGGUAGCGACUGAU
RNAcentral lists this ribosomal RNA (467 nucleotides) under uncultured bacterium. RNAcentral describes it as "bacterial SSU rRNA". It matches the Rfam family "Bacterial small subunit ribosomal RNA", at positions 335 to 800 of the family's 1533-position model. The record is from RNAcentral.